Molecule: ribosomal RNA, 502 nt
Filed under: uncultured bacterium
Lineage: Bacteria
Description: partial 16S ribosomal RNA
Rfam family: Bacterial small subunit ribosomal RNA
Source: RNAcentral
ACGAACGCUGGCGGCGUGCCUAACACAUGCAAGUCGAACGAGAAAGGGGCUUCGGCUCCGAGUAAAGUGGCGCACGGGUGAGUAACACGUGGGUAACCUGCCUCUAAGAUUGGGAUAACUCGUCGAAAGAUGAGCUAAUACCGAAUAAGACCACAGUUCCCGCGGGAACAGGGGUCAAAGGUAGCCUCUGCUUGCAAGCUAUCACUUAGAGAUGGGCCUGCGCACCAUUAGCUAGUUGGUAGGGUAACGGCCUACCAAGGCAAAGAUGGUUAGCUGGUCUGAGAGGAUGGUCAGCCACACUGGGACGUGGGCACGGUCCAGACCCCUACGGGGGGCAGCAGGGGGGAAUAUUGCGCAAUGGGCGAAAGGUUGAAGCAGCAACGCCGCGGGAGGGAUGAAGGCCGUCGGGUCGUAAAGCUCUGUCGGGAGGAACGAAUGCUCCUGAGGUUAACAGCCUCGGGAGGUGACGGUACCUUCAAAGGAAGCACCGGCUAACUCUGUG